UACGUAGGGUGCGAGCGUUAAUCGGAAUUACUGGGCGUAAAGCGUGCGCAGGCGGUUCGUUGUGUCGGCGGUGAAAGCCCCGGGCUCAACCUGGGAAUGGCCGUUGAAACUGGCGAACUGGAGUGUGGCAGAGGGGGGUGGAAUUCCCAGUGUAGAGGUGAAAUUCGUAGAUAUUGGGAAGAACACCGGUGGCGAAGGCGGCUCUCUGGACCGAGACUGACGCUGAGGCGCGAAAGCGUGGGGAGCAAACAGG
RNAcentral lists this ribosomal RNA (253 nucleotides) under uncultured bacterium. RNAcentral's name for it is "partial 16S ribosomal RNA". It matches the Rfam family "Bacterial small subunit ribosomal RNA", at positions 524 to 776 of the family's 1533-position model. The record is from RNAcentral.